UCUAUUUGGAUUGAAUUUCUUCAUAGCAAAACCAAUGAAUUACUGAACAGAUUGGACGUGGGUUUGCCAAAGAGUGAUUCCUGUCAGAUUGCUAAUCCUGGCCCAGAAUCUACAGCAUGGAAAAGAAGCCAUGCUUAUAAGCAAGCUCUUCGAGAGGAUGAAAACAGAAGAUUAGAGGAAAUGAAGCAAGAACAACAGAGGAAGGCUGAAUUAUUGGAAUUUAAACAAAAGCAGGAAGAGGAAACCAGGACAAGAACACUAAAAAAUGAACAGAGGAGGGUAAAUAAUGCUUUCCUGGACCGACUCCAGAACAGAACACAGCCUAAUAACAUCUACCACCCUGGAUAUACUGGACUACCUCAAUAAUGGCACCUUGGUAAGUUUUUUGGUACAGAAUGGAGAAGCAAUGAGAUUGUUCAAAUAUUGAAUUUUUCUCCAGA
Long non-coding RNA from Junco hyemalis (dark-eyed junco), 440 nucleotides. Lineage: Eukaryota; Metazoa; Chordata; Aves; Passeriformes; Passerellidae. The record is from Ensembl.